GACGAACGCUGGCGGCGUGCUUAACAAAUGCAAGUCGAACGGACGGGCCAGGCUCUUGCUGGGUGGUCGUGUGGCGAGCGGGUGAGUAACACGUGAGUAAAAUGCCCUUGACUGUGGGGUAAAUUCAGGAGACAGGGGCGAAUACAGGAUAGGAGCUCCUGAAGCAUGGGGGGGAAAGGAAAGAGACGGCGGUGGGGGAUGGACUAGAGGCUUAUCAGCUGGUUGGUGGGGUAGUGACGUACCACGGCUUUGAAGGCUAGCCGGCAUAAGAGGGUGACCGGCCACAUUAGGACUGCGAGACGGCGCAGACUCCUACCGGACGCAGCAGUGGGGAGUAUUGCGCAAUGGGCGGACGCCUGAUGCAGCGACGCCGCGUGCGUGAUGACCGCCUUCGGGUUGUAAACCGCUUUCUCCGGUGCCGAAGCGUGAGUGACGGUAACGGGUAAAGAAGCACCGGCUAACUACGUG
This 468-nucleotide ribosomal RNA is filed under the name uncultured bacterium. RNAcentral's name for it is "partial 16S ribosomal RNA". It matches the Rfam family "Bacterial small subunit ribosomal RNA", at positions 28 to 507 of the family's 1533-position model. The record is from RNAcentral.